Long non-coding RNA from Mauremys reevesii (Reeves's turtle), 1816 nucleotides. RefSeq lists it as uncharacterized. The record is from RefSeq and is a predicted model, not a curated record. NCBI's taxonomy places the organism in Eukaryota, Metazoa, Chordata, Testudines, Geoemydidae. The transcript is spliced from 6 exons.
UUUAUUACCAUACUCAGAGUUAGCCCUAAAGUUCUGUACAGGCAGACACUGACAUCUGUACAACUAAAAUUAUAGCUAUGUUACAAUAUGAGCUACAAGGACAUAUACAACUUUUUUAUUUUAUUUGGGGAGGUGUGGAGGGACAUGCCGUUACACUGACAGGUGACUAACGAGCUCCUCUGGGCCUUUUAAAGGAGACACACCUGCAAGCUUUGUUCUGCCCAGAGGGAGGAGGAGUUUAAAAGGGAAAACCUGCCAUGUGCUGGGGUGGUGAAUGGGUAGUUGAGACAGGCUUGGGAAGAAGGAGCUAGCAGUAAGCCUCAUAGGAGGACCUGAGCUACAGCCCUUGUAGACUAAGCCCAAAGGGCUACUGCAGGAAGACUGCCUGAGUUUCAGGAAGUGAGGAAACUAGGGCAUGGCUGAACAGUACUGAGAGUUGGAACACCUCUGAGAGAACGGGAAACUGAGAUAUAGAAAAUAUAUCAAAAACCUCUAAGAGAAGAGAGAGGAUGAAAAGGUAACACUUUUAAGCAUGGAAUUGCCUGUGGGAAGUGUCCAAAUACCCAAGAGGAGGGACAAGCCUUGUGUAACAUUGUGGUUAUGGUCCUGGGAAUACCACUACAGGAUUGCCUCUUUGAGGAGCAAUGACAAGCCCGGCCAAUGAUUCCAAUGACUCAAAGAUUAACAGAACAUUGUCUAGGACGGUGCUACAGUGCAUGGGCUCGUCAGCCAUACAAAGAGCACUAAUCUUAAAAAAUGUAGGUUCCUGUGCAUUCCAGAAGAUGAGGGAAAUGGUUGGAGGGGAGAUCAGACUUGACUGCAUAUCUGAAGUUCAAGAAUUUCUUCACUUCUGGAGAGCCCAGAACUACCCUUCCUCCAGCAGGGCCCAGCUCUGCACAUUGCCUGCUCCUGCCUCAGUUUCAUCUCUGUCUGAUACCGGACUGUCUCACUCCUCCACCCUGCCCUUUGGAGAGAGACAUUGGGUACUCCUGAUGCUCUGAUGUACUGUACUCAGAGACCCUGGAUAGCUAACUAGGGACAAGGUCACUCAUCCCCUUCCCAGAAGAUGGCACCAGAUUGCCUUCUAGCUGUGGAACAGUUACAUUUUAUCAGCAGCAGGUAUAAAAAUUUUAAAAAUAAGUUGUGCAUUCAGCUCUCAGCAGUGGACACCACUUAAAGUGUUAGAGUAAGCAGUUUCACAGAGACAUGGAGAACAUGAAGUGUACAGCAGAUCAGGGAAAUGAUUCAGAGAAUCCUCUUCAGCUCCGUGCACUAGAAAUGCUCUCAGGUUCUAAAUGCACUGUGAAAGAGGAAAGGACCUGAAUUCAGUACACGCAAGAAACAAAGACCCCAAAUACCCAGUGGGCUAUUCAUGAAUAGUUAAUAAAAGUGAAUAUGCUUUUGUUAAACAUCAGAUUUGAACAUUUUAAAUAAAGUUAGCAGAACUCUUUUCUGUGUAUAACAGCAUUAUCAUGAUUCCGUGCAUACAAAGAAACCACAUGAAACCUCUUGUAUUAAUAUGAAGGACCUCAUUCCCAUUUCCUCUUACACUGAUGUGAACCAGCGGUUAUUCUAAUGAUGUCCAUACAGGUAAAAUAGGUGUAAGAAUCAGGCCCCAAAUGUCUCUUCAGGGUAUAAACCCAAUCCCCCUGUGAGCGUUGCACCCACAUGGAGACCCACUGAGUCUCUGUGCAAGCUCAUGGACAGCCUGCGUCAAGCUCAUUGCAGGACUGGAGACUCCUAAGAAGCUUUGAAGUCUGGGACCUACAUCUGAAAUGAUGAACUGUUGUGGAAAAACAGUGACGUUCCCAUUGAA